Molecule: long non-coding RNA, 6039 nt
Organism: Numida meleagris (helmeted guineafowl)
Lineage: Eukaryota; Metazoa; Chordata; Aves; Galliformes; Numididae
Exons: 3
Source: RefSeq, a predicted model, not a curated record
CUGGCUGCCACCUGCCUUCUAGCUGUUUUCCACACAAAGGACGGUAAUCCUAGAUAUCCCUUGUAUUUGCCAAACUGCAGAUCUAGAGACUGUAGGUACACUUCCAUCAAGAGGUAGAACAGGCUGCCCAGGGAGGUGGUGGAGUCAUGGUCUAUUGGGGUUUACAAGAAACAUGAGAUGUGGCACUGAGGGAUGUGGUUGGUGGGCAUGGUGGUGAUAGGUCUACUAUUGGACUAGAUGAUCUCAGUGGUCUUUUUCAACCCUAAUGACUCUAUGAUUCUAAGUGAGGCACUGUGACUGCUUGUAGCCAUGAUCAUCUCUUGCAGAGCUAGUGAGGGUUUAUUUUCAUGUGCCUAGGGGCUGCUAUAAGCAGUGAACAUUUGAAAGCAUGGAUUGCCAUCUCAGUGUCCAAGGGGGGGGGGGGGGGAACUGUAGGAAGAACUUCAGCUAAUGGCUGCUCUGAUGGCUUGUUCUUGCUCUCUCCGUGACAGAUUAUUUAUGAACUUUGUUUUUCUGAUGCAAACCACCUUCCCAUGCCAUCUAGUGCAGGGUAGGCAGGGAAAAGCUAAGAGAGUCUUGAAGAAUGAGGCUUUUUUCAUUGCUGGGAGGAUUUCAAGGCAGUGUUCUCCCCUGUGUGGAGGUGUUUGGGCUGGCAGCAAUGGGUGCAUUUGCUGAACAUCCGUCUGUCCCAGGCAGAGCAGGCUCCAGUGGGAUACUUCGCUGACACUGAGGUGGGAGGGCCAUUCCUUGUCAGGGCUUUAAAAUCCAGUUUAUGAAACAUAAAGUGAAUAUGGUUGAAUUGCAAACUGUUGCAAAGUUCUUCAGCCAGUAAAAGAGAAGAGACAACAAGAUUUAUGAUGCCCUCAGUGUUUUGACAUUUAUUUCUGGAGUGUGUACUAUAGAAACAAAAGAGAAUAUCUCUUCAACCUUAAGAGUGACUUUUGGUCGAAGAUGUAUAAUAGUAACCUAACACUUCUAAUGCCUUUUGACUGCAUCUGAGAAUACUUUGCUGGAUGGAGAAGUUGCUAUCUCAAAGUGUUCUUCAAGGACCAGGAAAUUAGCCCUGUCUUAUAAAUACACUUCUACUGCAUUAAACCAUUGGCAAAUGCAGCAUAGCCAUUCUAAACUAAUUUGUCUUAAGUGGGCAUCUGAUGGCUCAGUUUAUCUGAACUUGGUCAUUUGGAUAUGGCUCAGCUGCUGUCCAAAGGAAAUCAUCAGGAUGCCUCUGCCAAUCCUUGCACUCAGCUCUGCUCUGUGACUGCAUGAAGGAGAUCUGAGCUAACCCAGCUGAGCUGCUGGCUCACAGAGAGCACCACGGGGUCAGUUACUGCACGCUGCCUUUCCCUGGUGGCAGCUGAGUCGAAGCCCGGAGCUCUGCGAGGAAAGCAUUAUUCGCUUAGGAGAAUGUCUUUCAAAAGAAACAGCCACCGAUGUCACUACACCAGCUAAGUGCCUCUCAACCACCUUUAUUUAAUUCCAUCUUUUAAAAGAAGAAAAAAAUAGUGGAUUAGGCAGAGCUAACACAUUUUCCUGCUAGUUGGAGGAUACUGAUUCAACAUUAAAUUAUCAGUGUCAAUUCUACGUGGCUAUGCAAUCUGUUUUUUCCUUAGCAAGAAAGCUGUAGGAAAAUAUUCAUCAGCUCCUUUUCUAUAUUUCACAAUAUUUAAGAGAUUUUCUGGUUACACAAAUACUCUUGGGCAUGAAUUCAGUGGCAGCCUGGCAGCUCAGCCAUCCCCCAGCUCCCAGCCGCGUGCUCUCCGCACUGCUGCUCCCUGCUCUGCUCUGUGGGAGGCCUGAAGUGAACCAUCCACAAGAUGUCAGCUUCCACUCAGAGAGAUGCCGACGCCAUUUGUAGUUCACAGUGCAAAAAGUCAUUUCAAGGCGCUUUGCCGAGAGCCCUGCAGUACGUUCUCAUGAGCAGAUACCCUAAUGAAUGCCAUGUACCAUACUGCCUAUUGCCGGAGAGACAGAGGCUGUACUGUGGGAGCUUUAAUCAUAUUAGAAUCACGAAAUCACAGAAUCACUUGAGUUGGAAGGGACAUUUAAAGGCUCUCUGGUCCAAGUCCCUGCAAUGAACAGGGAUGCCUCCAGCUCCAUCAGAUGCUCAGGGCUCUUAUCAGGCCGUAACCCAACCUCAAGCUGUGCAGCAGAGGUCAGAUUGGUGCUGCUGGGCUCCAUCUUGGCAGAACGUAAGAGGGAAUUUCCAGGUCUCUCUGGGCUGUUGUUACUUUUGGUGAGCUGAGCUAUAAUUAGGCUUUCAAGAAGACUUGCCAGGAAAUUGGAGCUGAGCUAGCAGGAGCUCCCUAGGCUAUCACUGGGGCAAGGCUACUAGUUAUGGCUGUGGGGUGACAGGACUUUCAUCUUCUUGUAUAAGGAUAGCGUGGCUGGAGGAUGGGAUUUUAAUGGGGGCAUGUAGGGCAUCUAGUAGAGAUAGGAUUAGGCCAACUAUCCCUGUGUUGUAGUGUACCACGUGGCUGGGAGUAGAGCCUAGCCGGUUUCCAUCUAGGUUAAGGUUUGGGGGUUCAUCAGUUUCCUAAAGCUGAGGGGUGGGGAUCAUGUUUCCAGGCUGGUUGAUCUAGAAUGACAGCUUCCAGGUGGCAUGGGGUACACCUGGAUCUGUGCUUAUGUGCAUGCAGCUAUCUGGGGUCAGUGGCUCCACGCUGCAAUUUGGGGUAGCUUCAGUCAUGGGGCCUUAUGGGCUAAUGAGCCUGGGGUUGGGCUGCAAGGUGACAUUCAUCUCAGAACAGGGAUUGUUUGGGCUUCCCAUAGCAGCAUUUGGGCUGGCAUGGUGAGGGGAUUCCUGUUACACCAGCCUGGGUUCAUGCAAGGAACAAGCUCCAGCAAGGCUCCAGCUCCUGGCUGUUGUAGCCCACCAUGAGAAGAUGAGCACUGUUACUUGUUGAAACAAAGCAUUUAGGAAGUUUAACACGUUUUAUUGGAUAAAAUAAUUUUCUAAAUGAACUGUGCAAGCUUGAAAUACUGGAUCUAUAUGUACAUGAACCUCAGUAACUCAUCCUGAGGCUUUACAGUCUUUCUGUAUCUGGUCAUUAAGGUUUCCAAACCUUAGCUAUCCUGUCCCUGUAGAGCUGCAUAUUUUCACAGCAUGAAAAGAGUUUAAUAAAUGCCACUGGAAAAAAAGAAAAAAGGAAAAGCUGGGCCUUCACUGGUGAGAGAUAAUGCAAUGAGUGGUGAAGGACUCGCCGUGGGAGCUGCUGCCUGGAUGUCUAUGGCAUUCAUUAUGCAGCUGAUCCAGAUCAUGCUGGUUCCUUCUGGCCUUCGGUCUACACAUCCCCACAGAAACACCCCCUGUGCCGCUCUCUCAAGCAGAUGGCUGGGCAGAUGAAGAGCAGAGAUGUGCUACUUCAGCAAGUGCCUUGAUGGUGCCAGAAAUUUUAAACAGCGAGUUGGAGGGGGGGAAAUGUGCAAGAAAAGUGCAACAGAACAGACUGAGUCUUCCAAGCGAGGAGCUCCGUGUUGGAGGGAUGUGCGGGAUGGCAACUGGGGUGGGAGCAAGCUCUGCAGAGUGGUAGAUUGACUCCAACUGAAGGAAAAAGAGGAAAUGGAAAAGUGUGACCUGACGUGGGAAGGCCUGGGCUGGCCCCUGCCGUGACAAGUGCUGUGCUGAUCUCUCGCUGACGCGGGUGGUGGGGAGCUGGUACUGCAGCCAUAUGUUACCUGAGGAUAACACCACCACUUGAGAGUCGCCUUAAAUACUGUGGCACAGAGGACACGUAAACAUCCCAGACAAGUGUGAAUUUUGUUCCAUCAGGUGGGAAAAUUGAAGUGACAGGGAAGGGAGCUGAGAAGAGGGCUGGUGGCUGGGAUGGCAGUGAUUUUAGCAAUGUCUAGCGGAAAGAAAAGGAUACCGACAGGUCGGGGGGAAGCAGGGAUACAGAAGGGCUUUGUAUCAGCUGAGAGAGGAAAGCCCUGUGUGAGUGCUGUAACACAGGGGAUUGUCAUGGAGUUGGGAGGACGGUGACUUGUAGGCAAUUGCAAGGCUCGGAGCGGCAGGGGAGGUGAUGUCUUGCAUAAGGCACCGUCAGCACUUUAAACCCACGUCCAUUAAUAAAUACCACAGCGCUGAAAGCAUUCUGCUGCUUAUCGGCAUGAGGGGAGCAGUGACCUUUCCACUUUCUUCCCCUCUCCCCGGGAGCCUGAUGGGCUGCGAUAACCCACUUAGCAGGCGCGUGGGCGGCAGGUGAUGGCGUCAGAGUGACGAGGGAGCCCUGCUCAUGCCAUCUCCUUCGCGCUACAUUACUCUAAAAAUAAAUGCUGCCUCACGUCGGAAGCUGCUGACUGUGCCUGGGCUCCUCCCGGCUGCUCCUCUCCCCGGUGUCUGUCAGAGCCACUCUCUGGCAGCUGAUGCUGCUUCUGAAACCUCUGAGGCACUGGGGAGGAUGGCUCUGCGUGGUGGGGAGCUCUGGGCCUGUCAUCAGGGGGAUGCCAGCGAUGAGGGCACCCACGGCAAGCAGCUCCUCUGGGGGCCCAGCUGGAAGGCAGGAUUGGCCUGAUCCUAAACUGGCACCACUGGCGAUGAGCUGUGAGGUGUUCACAGCACAUCUGGCACAGGGCAAAAAAAUCUCAAGUCUGAAGAAGCUAAACUCAAUGAUGAGAGCAGUCCCCCCAAAGAGGAGAACAUUUCUCACCACAUAUUUGAAGAGAGCAGCUACGGAAGCAGAUCUGACUCAGCCCAGCAAGGUGGUGAUCAGGAACAGAGAGUAAGAACAAGUGUGAAUUAAAAGAGGCUCAGUGUAUUAAACAGCAGGCAUUUCCCUAGCAUAAAUAUCUUGGUACCAAACACUGGCAGGGCUUUGAUUUACACGAAGCAGUGACACUGGACCAAGCACAUCUUUAGGACAUUGCAGAGGGAUAUACUGUCCCACCCCAUGGUGUGGAAGGCCAUAAGGACCUGCUUUGCUUGGAAAUCCCGAUUGUUUGGGUCCAGUUCCACCACAGGAGCUCCACUGACUGCAUUGUCUGUAAGGCAAUGGCUGGGCUGGGGCUGGUGCAGCUGAUACCCAGCAGCACACCACAACCCCUGUCUGACAGUGGCCUUAUUUUGUCUGGCAUGCUUUUCCUUAACCAGUAUAGGAGAACGCAGGCACAAGUAGUAACUUUUUUGUCUCCUUUUGUAUUUUUUUAGUGCAUUGUGAGAAGAAAACUGCGCUCCACAUCCUUUCCAUUCGGUGUUUCAGGCACUAGAGGGCAGAAGAAAGGAGCCGGGAUGCUCGCAGCGAGACCCGGCUCCUUUCUGCCGCUGUCUCAGGGCAAGAAAUCAAUCUGGAAAGGCUUUUCCCUCUGCCCAUCACCAACGCGCAUCAAGGGCUCCAUGCCUCAUUAGCACUAUUAAUGUUUAAUAGUGAAAUGUUGCAUCUCGGAUGCAAUACUACACGGAGCAAGUCUACGUGCUCGUCUGCAGCGGCAAUGCAGCACGAUGGGCUCAGAACAUAAAGUGGGAAUCUGUGGUUUCUGCAGUGUGGGAAAUGACCCCAUGUGAUGUGGAGUGGGUUUCCUCUCCUGCAGUGGCACUGCUGCCAGCUGGCACUGCUGGUUUGCGGCUUCACAGCAUGGGAGAGGAAAGUGGAGGGCACAGGGCUGGUGGCAGAGCCAAGUCAAGAGCCAGGAAACACCAGAAGAUGGGUUUUCCCAUUAAAAUCAGUGCUGUUCUGGUGCUUUCAGGGAGCACUCACCCGGACACCUCAUCACAUGCUUCUCUCUGCCAGAGCAAAGCUGUCCAAGAAGCACCCGGCUGUGGCACUGAGGAUUAAGCCCUGCUACCAGCCCCAGCAUCCCGCUGCCUUCUGUGGGAGGAGAGCAGAGCAUGGACUCCUUCACUGGGCUGAAGCGAUCUGCCAGCUGUGUGCAUCGGAGAGAAACCAGAUCACUCAAGUUUGGAUGAAACUGUGCUGAGAAGGGUUUUUACUGGUUGCCACACUUUGAGGCCAUUUACUCUCUUUUCCACUGAGGAAAACAGAUAUUUCAUAUACUGACAGUAAAAAAGGACUCCAAAAGUAUUAAUAAAUGUUAUGCUGGCCAGGA